Molecule: long non-coding RNA, 1387 nt
Organism: Syzygium oleosum
Lineage: Eukaryota; Viridiplantae; Streptophyta; Magnoliopsida; Myrtales; Myrtaceae
Exons: 3
Source: RefSeq, a predicted model, not a curated record
CUUUGACUAAGCGAGAGAGACAAAAAGAAAGGGAACCAGAAGGCGUCGCGCAGCAGCAGGAGAACAGGUCGCGCAGCAGCAAGGAGGGCAGAGUCGCGCGAGGGGCAGAGGUCAGAGUCGCCCGGAGAAUCCUUUACCCAUCCGAGAGGCCCGCGGUUUGAGGCCGGUUCGGACCAGAGAUUACCCAACCGGUAUGUAUUCUCAGAGGAACUACGGUAAUUGGACCCGUCAAGGUCUUGAGGCUGAGGCGCCAGCUGCCUUCCCUCCUCCAACUUCCAACUUGCGGCAACUUAUUAGGAUGUAUGGUCAUGAUAAUGGGAAUAAUGGUCCAAAGGCUCCUCCUAGUGUCCCAUAUCUCAAUUAUCAAGAGCAUUAUUCUUUGCAUGGAAUCCAAAAGUCCCACCUCUUUCCAACUCCCUCACUUCCUCCUCCCCCCACAUACUGGCCCCCACGCCCAAUCAAUUCGCAGCCUCAGCAGCCUAAUUGUCCACUCUUCAAUCAAAAUUCAGGCCUCAUUACUUCAUUUCCUGCGAAAACUUUCACUCAAACUUUCACUCAGUCAUUGGCUCCCCAGCAAAUCCAAUCAACUGGUGAAACAAACUCCUUAACAUUGCAGCAGAAGAGAAAAGAGAAGAAAAUGCAGAGGAAGAGGAACAUAAAAGAGGCAAAAGGUAAGGGGAUAUAUUGCCCGACCAUUCAGCGGAAGGCAAAGGAUAAGGAAAAGAGGAAGAGGCUGAGGAAGCAAAAAGAGGCCGAGGAAGCAAAAAGAGGCCAAAACUAAGAAGAAUAUGUGCUAUGAGGACGUAAGUCCUUUGUCAGAGUUGUUGGUGGCUGAAGAUGAUGUUAAAUUGGAUAUCGAUAUCAACACAGGAGGGAUGUCUAUGCAAAUUCCGGAUAUAUCGUCAAAGAGGAUUAGUGUUGAACCUUCCCAAAACAUAUGCAAUGGCGUGUCCGAAUGCUUAGAUACAGAUACGCCAUUUGACUCCCUUGCAAAUGCAUAUGACCUGAGACGACAAAGGAGAAUACCUAUAAAGUUGGCCCAGUGGAAUGUUUUGUAAUGACAAAGGGUUAAUGGAAUUGCAACCAUAGAAAUAGUGGGUCAUUUGUUGGAUAAGAAUCCAUUCAGAAGUUUUCUUCGUCAAGGAUGUGGUGCCUAUCUUGAGAUGGUGGCUACAGUUAAACAAGACUGAUACUAUGUAUGGUUGCUUGAGUGGAGCGGUGCUCAGCCAUAUAAUGGUUGCUAUGAAUAGGUGUAGAAUUUGCCUGGUAAACAAAAGCUCCAAAGCCUCACAGGCCAUGGGUUACUCAGGCUUCUCAUUGGAUCUGCAUGCAUUGAUUCUUUCUGUGAGUCCUCUCAUGCCCGUGCACAACUUGGUAAGACCUUUGA